AGAGUUUGAUCCUGGCUCAGAUUGAACGCUGGCGGCAGGCCUAACACAUGCAAGUCGAGCGGUAACAGAUCCAGCUUGCUGGAUGCUGACGAGCGGCGGACGGGUGAGUAACGCAUAGGAAUUUACCCGAUAGUGGGGGAUAACCUGGGGAAACUCAGGCUAAUACCGCAUACGUCCUACGGGAGAAAGGGGGCCUUGGCUCCCGCUAUCGGAUGAGCCUAUGCCGGAUUAGCUGGUUGGUGAGGUAAUGGCUCACCAAGGCGACGAUCCGUAGCUGGUCUGAGAGGAUGAUCAGCCACAUCGGGACUGAGACACGGCCCGAACUCCUACGGGAGGCAGCAGUGGGGAAUAUUGGACAAUGGGGGCAACCCUGAUCCAGCCAUGCCGCGUGUGUGAAGAAGGCCCUCGGGUUGUAAAGCACUUUCAGCGAGGAAGAACGCCUGGCGGUUAAUACCCGCCAGGAAAGACAUCACUCGCAGAAGAAGCACCGGCUAACUCCGUGCCAGCAGCCGCGGUAAUACGGAGGGUGCAAGCGUUAAUCGGAAUUACUGGGCGUAAAGCGCGCGUAGGUGGCUUGAUAAGCCGGUUGUGAAAGCCCCGGGCUCAACCUGGGAACGGCAUCCGGAACUGUCAGGCUAGAGUGCAGGAGAGGAAGGUAGAAUUCCCGGUGUAGCGGUGAAAUGCGUAGAGAUCGGGAGGAAUACCAGUGGCGAAGGCGGCCUUCUGGACUGACACUGACACUGAGGUGCGAAAGCGUGGGUAGCAAACAGGAUUAGAUACCCUGGUAGUCCACGCCGUAAACGAUGUCNACCAGCCGUUGGGUGCCUA
This 828-nucleotide ribosomal RNA is filed under the name uncultured bacterium. RNAcentral's name for it is "bacterial SSU rRNA". It matches the Rfam family "Bacterial small subunit ribosomal RNA", at positions 8 to 833 of the family's 1533-position model. The record is from RNAcentral.